AGUGAACGCUGGCGGUAGGCCUAACACAUGCAAGUCGAACGGCAGCACAGUAAGAGCUUGCUCUUACGGGUGGCGAGUGGCGGACGGGUGAGGAAUACAUCGGAAUCUACUUUUUCGUGGGGGAUAACGUAGGGAAACUUACGCUAAUACCGCAUACGACCUACGGGUGAAAGCAGGGGAUCUUCGGACCUUGCGCGAUUGAAUGAGCCGAUGUCGGAUUAGCUAGUUGGCGGGGUAAAGGCCCACCAAGGCGACGAUCCGUAGCUGGUCUGAGAGGAUGAUCGGCCACUCUGGAACUGAGACACGGUCCAGACUCCUACGGGAGGCAGCAGUGGGGAAUAUUGGACAAUGGGCGCAAGCCUGAUCCAGCCAUACCGCGUGGGUGAAGAAGGCCUUCGGGUUGUAAAGCCCUUUUGUUGGGAAAGAAAAGCAGCAGGUUAAUACCCCGCUGUUCUGACGGUACCCAAAGAAUAAGCACCGGCUAACUUCGUG
Molecule: ribosomal RNA, 492 nt
Filed under: uncultured bacterium
Lineage: Bacteria
Description: partial 16S ribosomal RNA
Rfam family: Bacterial small subunit ribosomal RNA
Source: RNAcentral